UACGGAGGGUGCAAGCGUUAUCCGGAUUCACUGGGUUUAAAGGGUGCGUAGGCGGCCUUGCAAGUCAGUGGUGAAAGCCCGCAGCUUAACUGCGGAACUGCCAUUGAAACUGCCAGGCUUGAGUAUAAUUGAAGUGGGUGGAAUGCAUCAUGUAGCGGUGAAAUGCUUAGAUAUGAUGCAGAACCCCGACUGCGAAGGCAGCUCACUAAAUUGUAACUGACGCUGAGGCACGAAAGCGUGGGUAGCGAACAGG
This 253-nucleotide ribosomal RNA is filed under the name uncultured bacterium. RNAcentral describes it as "partial 16S ribosomal RNA". It matches the Rfam family "Bacterial small subunit ribosomal RNA", at positions 524 to 776 of the family's 1533-position model. The record is from RNAcentral.